This 480-nucleotide ribosomal RNA is filed under the name uncultured bacterium. RNAcentral's name for it is "bacterial SSU rRNA". It matches the Rfam family "Bacterial small subunit ribosomal RNA", at positions 29 to 506 of the family's 1533-position model. The record is from RNAcentral.
UUGAACGCUGGCGGCAUGCCUUACACAUGCAAGUCGAACGGUAACGCGGGGCAACCUGGCGACGAGUGGCGAACGGGUGAGUAACAUAUCGGAACGUGCCCAGUAGUGGGGGAUAGCCCGGCGAAAGCCGGAUUAAUACCGCAUACGACCUACGGGUGAAAGGGGGGGAUCGCAAGACCUCUCGCUAUUGGAGCGGCCGAUAUCAGAUUAGGUAGUUGGUGGGGUAAAGGCCCACCAAGCCGACGAUCUGUAGCUGGUCUGAGAGGACGACCAGCCACACUGGGACUGAGACACGGCCCAGACUCCUACGGGAGGCAGCAGUGGGGAAUUUUGGACAAUGGGCGCAAGCCUGAUCCAGCCAUGCCGCGUGCGGGAAGAAGGCCUUCGGGUUGUAAACCGCUUUUGUCAGGGAAGAAAUCUCUUGGGCUAAUACCUCGGGGGGAUGACGGUACCUGAAGAAUAAGCACCGGCUAACUACGU